Molecule: long non-coding RNA, 1080 nt
Organism: Paramormyrops kingsleyae
Lineage: Eukaryota; Metazoa; Chordata; Actinopteri; Osteoglossiformes; Mormyridae
Source: RefSeq, a predicted model, not a curated record
AUGCUGCAGCAAGGUAUACUUGGGGUGAUCCUGGGCGGGUGUUUAGCUCCAGGCGUCAUCGGGAAGUCCUGUGUAGGUGGUUGUACCAUGAAACUGGAAUUUAGGUCGCUGUAGCAGGGGAUAUGGAGAGGGGAGACUCCGUCAAACCAGUGAUGCAGUGAGCAUCAAUGUCUGAUUGAAUCUAACCGUGAAAUAUAUCCGCUUUUCUAAUGAGUGCUUUGCUGAUACACUGCUUUUUUAUCUUAGCGAAGCUCUGUACUUUGCGGGAUUGCUCAGUAAAGGUAAAAUGCACAGUUUUCCUCUUUGUUUAACAUGGACCGUGUUGACGGGCACCAGCAUGCUGCUUUAUCGCCUUAUACAAAGCUAAGGACGCACUGGCGUCUAGAAAUAAGCUUCGGUGCCAAAGCGUAAAACCUUCUAGUAGCGUUAAGUUACACAGUGCGACUGUUCAGAAAGUCCGGAAAUAAAGGUGAAUAUCAGCAGCGGUAACUUCAGGCUGUUUAAAUCCCCCACCAGUGUUGGCUACUUUUUGCAAGGUACGCGUGUUACAAUUUAUUUCCAGAAAAGUGUGAGACACGGCGGAUUCUUCUUACGCCAUUGCCAGCGCUUUAAAGGAGAUGUUUGGAUUCAAUACUGUAUCCUAAGCUGUCUGGGUGAAUGUUUGGGAGACACGGUGGCACCCGAUUUUAAAGAAAUAAUCACACGUCUGAAUAAGCAGCGAGAGGCGUUUCAACUGCAGAACACUACAUCUUCCUACAGUGGGACUUAUUAUACUCCAGUAAAAUAUAACAGUAAUUGCACCUGGCACAUGAUGCUCUGUUUUGUUCUGGAACUGGAAGUAAUUAUGCAUGACGCAAAUGUUUCGAUGGAUACUUUCUGGGAGGACCUCAAGAAUUAUUCAUCCAAGAAUGUGGAGAAGAGUGACUGCCCACAAUGUGAAGAAUAUGAAGAUUCAAAUGCUUCAAUAUUUUUAGAUGGAUUUGACAUAUUUAUAAAGAGUUCAUAACGUAGCACAGUAAGUGUGAAAUAACACUGUAUAAUAUGUCUUUGUUUCUGUCAAGUUAAAGUUGAUUUUCUGUA